UCGGAUCCUAACAAAGGUUACUUCCCUUCUCUACAAAGGACAACAACCCCCUCAGAUUUGCCCCGCACAGCAUACUUCUAUAAAGUUCACCGAUAUCUCCAGAUACUUCAGGAGACUCCAGAUGACUCAUCAAUGAAGCAGACAGACCCCUCCCCCCUUGAAGAUAUCCACUCCAUCAGAAGGCAAGAGAAAUUUCGGGGGAACAGUGAGAGACCAAGGAGAGCUCUCCCUUGGCUACAAGCAUCUCUGAUUGAAUCUGGAGCUUGCCCACUUGGCUAGAGUGGCUAAGAAGCUUUUGGGACCUGCCUGUCACUGAUGCUGUCCUCCACCCCAACACUGAAUUUACAAACAUGUUCAGGUUUUACAUUGGUGCUGGGGAUCCAAACUCCGUACUGAAACUGAUGCAACACAUGCUUUACUCACUUGCUCCCCAGCCCUAUUCCUGCUAUUCUUACUGACAUUUUACACAAGAGCAAAAUGAGGCUUCAAGGGAUGAGGUAGCAGCCCAAGGUUGCUUAUUAUGAGCAAAAUAAAAGACACCUGCUUCCAA
Molecule: long non-coding RNA, 550 nt
Organism: Peromyscus leucopus (white-footed mouse)
Lineage: Eukaryota; Metazoa; Chordata; Mammalia; Rodentia; Cricetidae
Exons: 2
Source: RefSeq, a predicted model, not a curated record